GUUAAAUUGGCAGAAUUUAAGUGCAUUGAAUUUAGGUUUCAAAUAUAAUACAAAUAUUAUUUAACA
Molecule: transfer RNA, 66 nt
Filed under: Haematopinus suis
Lineage: Eukaryota; Metazoa; Arthropoda; Insecta; Psocodea; Haematopinidae
Description: tRNA-Leu
Source: RNAcentral